CUUGAACCAUUAACAACCAUUAUUAAAAACCAGGGCAAUGAGGAGGCAAAGGUGUCAGGUGCAGACAUUGUUAGACCCCCGAAAACUCAAGUAUCCGGGGUCUCAGGCCAGGUUCGCGGUCACCCCAAUCACCAGGCGGAUUCGAGAGCUUGCUGCAAACUGCACGAGGCUUUAUUGUAAUUUAACGAACUAACCCCAUGUUAGCUCGGGUCUUUCACCCACCCGCCAUGGCAGACGGCUAGAAAAAGACGGCUCCUAAGGGCUCCCAAAAGAUCUUAUAGGGCAGCGUAAGGGGAGUGUCUAGGGGUACGCACAGGCUCAUGAUUGGUGUGCUUCCAGGCUUGGAGGGCUUGCCCUGUGUUGAUUGGUCAACUGGUUGUUAUGGCUCAUAGGCCCUCCCAGGGUGGUUGCUAUGCUCUCUACGUCAUUGCUGUGCGCUUGUCCAUAAAGCACACCCAGGGUCGUAAAGCAUAGCGCCACCAGCUAACUUCUGAUUGGUUCCUUGUCACAAGACAGGCAUCUGACUUCUACGUGACCAAGGCAGGUUUAUGGCAAGCACGUGUUCGGCUGUUAUGGCUGCCAAAAGGGAAGCCGGUUCCUUCAACAUGACUUUACACACACUCUUGAGCUGGAAUUCAUUUUUGAUGAAACCUCUACAUGGCAACAGAGAAACCAGAAAGAAAGAUGCAGUCUCUGCCCUUCUGGAUCUCCAACUACCGCCCAGGAGACGAGCCAACCCCUCCUCUUCCUUACAAGGGGUCAUGUCUGCACACCUGAAGCUACACUCCUAGGAUGCAGCUACCACCGCAAGUCCACUGGUGAAAUAAGAUGCCACUACAACUCUCCACAUUUAAGGUGUUUUUUUUUUUGUUUUUGUUUUUUGUUUUUGUAUCAGGAUUUUGUUGCAGUCAUGAAGAAACAAUUUAAUAUCUCCUACAGUAUAAGUUCUGUU
Molecule: long non-coding RNA, 952 nt
Filed under: Cricetulus griseus (Chinese hamster)
Lineage: Eukaryota; Metazoa; Chordata; Mammalia; Rodentia; Cricetidae
Description: lncRNA (ENSCGRG00000025773.1)
Source: RNAcentral